This 68-nucleotide transfer RNA is filed under the name Marmota monax (woodchuck). Its description in RNAcentral is "tRNA.Val". Lineage: Eukaryota; Metazoa; Chordata; Mammalia; Rodentia; Sciuridae. The record is from RNAcentral.
GGAUGUGGCUCAAGUGGUAGAGCGCUUGCCUAACAUACGUGAGGCACUGGGUUCGAUUCUCAGCACCA